RNAcentral lists this transfer RNA (73 nucleotides) under Rhipicephalus microplus (southern cattle tick). RNAcentral's name for it is "tRNA-Tyr". It matches the Rfam family "tRNA". From Rfam's summary of the family: Transfer RNA (tRNA) molecules are approximately 80 nucleotides in length. The record is from RNAcentral. Lineage: Eukaryota; Metazoa; Arthropoda; Arachnida; Ixodida; Ixodidae.
CCGUCGAUAGCUCAGUUGGUAGAGCGGUGGACUGUAUAUCCAUAGGUCGCUGGUUCGAAUCCGGCUCGACGGA